UAAUGAACCAGACAACCUGGAUUUGACUGCAAAACUCAUAUAUUUACUUUUCUAACUAUCUAGUAUCAAUGAUAGAUAUAUUAGAAUGAAUGUUAUAUGAAAAUAUCUUACAUGUGUAAUAUAUUCAAAUUUUUUUUAAAAAAGAGCCGAAAAUAUGCGUAAAUAGAAAAAAUUAUAAAAAAAUAUAAAAUGACAACAACAAUCUGUAAAAUGUACAUUAAUAUCUUAUAUUAUGAUUAACACAUCAUAUUCUACCAUUCAAACAACAAAACAUUGAAUAAAAAAUAUAAAUACUUAUUUUUGAGGAAUUUCUGGAAAAUGGCCCACGGAGCUUCGAAUCAAGAAAAUCCUUAAUAUAAGUUGUUUUUAUCUGUAAUAUCAAGCUAAGAGUGGUCGAAAAUAGCAAUAGAAUGAUUUAGGAAGAGUUUGGAAGAAAGAAGUUUCAAAAAAAGUGAAAAAACAGACCUUAAAAAGCAAAAAAAUAAAAA
This is a long non-coding RNA of Magnolia sinica, 488 nucleotides long. RefSeq lists it as uncharacterized. The transcript has 2 exons. NCBI's taxonomy places the organism in Eukaryota, Viridiplantae, Streptophyta, Magnoliopsida, Magnoliales, Magnoliaceae. The record is from RefSeq and is a predicted model, not a curated record.